RNAcentral lists this ribosomal RNA (483 nucleotides) under uncultured bacterium. RNAcentral's name for it is "partial 16S ribosomal RNA". It matches the Rfam family "Bacterial small subunit ribosomal RNA", at positions 30 to 507 of the family's 1533-position model. The record is from RNAcentral.
UUGAACGCUGACGGCAGGCCUAACACAUGCAAGUCGAGCGGAUGAAGGGAGCUUGCUCCUGGAUUCAGCGGCGGACGGGUGAGUAAUGCCUAGGAAUCUGCCUGGUAGUGGGGGAUAACGUCCGGAAACGGGCGCUAAUACCGCAUACGUCCUGAGGGAGAAAGUGGGGGAUCUUCGGACCUCACGCUAUCAGAUGAGCCUAGGUCGGAUUAGCUAGUUGGUGGGGUAAAGGCCUACCAAGGCGACGAUCCGUAACUGGUCUGAGAGGAUGAUCAGUCACACUGGAACUGAGACACGGUCCAGACUCCUACGGGAGGCAGCAGUGGGGAAUAUUGGACAAUGGGCGAAAGCCUGAUCCAGCCAUGCCGCGUGUGUGAAGAAGGUCUUCGGAUUGUAAAGCACUUUAAGUUGGGAGGAAGGGCAGUAAGUUAAUACCUUGCUGUUUUGACGUUACCAACAGAAUAAGCACCGGCUAACUUCGUG